Molecule: long non-coding RNA, 594 nt
Organism: Hibiscus syriacus
Lineage: Eukaryota; Viridiplantae; Streptophyta; Magnoliopsida; Malvales; Malvaceae
Exons: 3
Source: RefSeq, a predicted model, not a curated record
GCUUCAGAGGACCUACUAGCAGAAAAAGCAUUGGUGCAAAGAUAUCUUGAGAAGAAGAAAGACAGGUUUAAGAACAAGAGAAAGUUGGCAACUUCUUCAUCUCCUACCUUUGACAUCUACUUAAAUCAAUUGGGAGAUCAGUUUUCAAGUGAGCAGUUGAAACAAAGUGAACCAUGCUUUUCUCCCCAUGCGGAAGCACCUCACACUCCUCUUGAGUGCGGCUCCAUUGAAAAUGUUGCAAAGGUUGCUGGACUUCUUACUCCUGAUGGAAAAGGUGACGGUGAAUUAUCUCAUAUGCAUUCAAAAUAUGAGGUUUGAUCAGAGCCAUGAAUUGGCGGGUAAAGGGCUAGGCAUGGAGACGUAAGAGUUUGUAACAUUAUAGUUAACUUGUUUGAUCGGUUGCGGCCAUUAUUAUUACUUAGCUAAAUGAGGAAUCUAGUUUAGUCAGUGUUGCUGUCUGCUUUUAUGAUCAUGUGGUAGCUGAAAGAGAAACAAGUAGGUGUCCCACGGUCAUUUUAAAGCAUAUCCGGGGUUUUCAAGUCGUUUAACAAUCCUCCUUACGAAAUUGGAAACAAACGAGCCGUUUUAUGUUCA